GGCCAAGUGGCGUAAUGGUAGCGCUUCUGUUUCCGGUACAGAGGGUUGCAGGUUCGAGUCCUGUCUUGGUCG
Molecule: transfer RNA, 72 nt
Filed under: Colletotrichum trifolii
Lineage: Eukaryota; Fungi; Ascomycota; Sordariomycetes; Glomerellales; Glomerellaceae
Also listed under: 1 other name
Rfam family: tRNA
About the family: Transfer RNA (tRNA) molecules are approximately 80 nucleotides in length. Their secondary structure includes four short double-helical elements and three loops (D, anti-codon, and T loops). Further hydrogen bonds mediate the characteristic L-shaped molecular structure. tRNAs have two regions of fundamental functional importance: the anti-codon, which is responsible for specific mRNA codon recognition, and the 3' end, to which the tRNAs corresponding amino acid is attached (by aminoacyl-tRNA synthetases). tRNAs cope with the degeneracy of the genetic code in two manners: having more than one tRNA (with a specific anti-codon) for a particular amino acid; and 'wobble' base-pairing, i.e. permitting non-standard base-pairing at the 3rd anti-codon position.
Source: Rfam by way of RNAcentral